AUACAUGCAAGUCGAGCGGACAGAUGGGAGCUUGCUCCCUGAUGUUAGCGGCGGACGGGUGAGUAACACGUGGGUAACCUGCCUGUAAGACUGGGAUAACUCCGGGAAACCGGGGCUAAUACCGGAUGCUUGUUUGAACCGCAUGGUUCAAACAUAAAAGGUGGCUUCGGCUACCACUUACAGAUGGACCCGCGGCGCAUUAGCUAGUUGGUGAGGUAAUGGCUCACCAAGGCAACGAUGCGUAGCCGACCUGAGAGGGUGAUCGGCCACACUGGGACUGAGACACGGCCCAGACUCCUACGGGAGGCAGCAGUAGGGAAUCUUCCGCAAUGGACGAAAGUCUGACGGAGCAACGCCGCGUGAGUGAUGAAGGUUUUCGGAUCGUAAAGCUCUGUUGUUAGGGAAGAACAAGUACCGUUCGAAUAGGGCGGUACCUUGACGGUACCUAACCAGAAAGCCACGGCUAACUACGUGCCAGCAGCCGCGGUAAUACGUAGGUGGCAAGCGUUGUCCGGAAUUAUUGGGCGUAAAGGGCUCGCAGGCGGUUUCUUAAGUCUGAUGUGAAAGCCCCCGGCUCAACCGGGGAGGGUCAUUGGAAACUGGGGAACUUGAGUGCAGAAGAGGAGAGUGGAAUUCCACGUGUAGCGGUGAAAUGCGUAGAGAUGUGGAGGAACACCAGUGGCGAAGGCGACUCUCUGGUCUGUAACUGACGCUGAGGAGCGAAAGCGUGGGGAGCGAACAGGAUUAGAUACCCUGGUAGUCCACGCCGUAAACGAUGAGUGCUAAGUGUUAGGGGGUUUCCGCCCCUUAGUGCUGCAGCUAACGCAUUAAGCACUCCG
RNAcentral lists this ribosomal RNA (839 nucleotides) under uncultured Streptomyces sp. Its description in RNAcentral is "bacterial SSU rRNA". It matches the Rfam family "Bacterial small subunit ribosomal RNA", at positions 51 to 871 of the family's 1533-position model. The record is from RNAcentral. Lineage: Bacteria; Bacillati; Actinomycetota; Actinomycetes; Kitasatosporales; Streptomycetaceae.